UUUAGACAAAGUAUAAUGAUAGAUAUAUGUUAAAAAAUCACUAUACAAAUUAUUCAUGAUGUGUGGGAGUUAGAUUAGGAGUUUUUAAAUAUACAAAUUAUUGACUUGUUUGCUAUAUGCAUUUUUCAAGAUAACAUUACAUUAUGAGUUGUUAAUUUCUCAUAAUAUAUGUUUUAUGCCAGUUACUUUUUUGUUUUUGUUUUUGUAUUAUUAACACUUUUUUAAGUGAAGGUACUUUUGUUAGUUAAGGUACUUUAAAAAAAAAAGGUGUUCAAUUGGAUUUUUUAGUUUGUCGAAUGUGCUCUUCUUUUUCAUUUUUUUCUUCUUUUUAGCAUUAAAGUGUUCUUUUUUGGAAAUAAAUAUAUUUAUUAACCUGGAUUAAUUCAUUUUUUGUUAGGAAUAAUUGUUU
This 409-nucleotide long non-coding RNA is filed under the name Capsella rubella. Its description in RNAcentral is "long non-coding RNA (CRUB_LNC001635)". Lineage: Eukaryota; Viridiplantae; Streptophyta; Magnoliopsida; Brassicales; Brassicaceae. The record is from RNAcentral.